This 269-nucleotide ribosomal RNA is filed under the name uncultured archaeon. RNAcentral describes it as "partial 16S ribosomal RNA". It matches the Rfam family "Archaeal small subunit ribosomal RNA", at positions 477 to 747 of the family's 1478-position model. The record is from RNAcentral.
CUGCAGCCCGAGUGGUGAUCGAUUUUAUUGAGCCUAAAGCGUCCGUAGCCGGACUAGUAAACCCUUGGGUAAAUUGGGCAGCUUAACUGUCCAAAUUCCGAGGGGCUGCUAGUCUUGGGACCGGGAGAGGUCAGAGGUACUCAAGGGGUAGGGGCUAAAUCCUGUAAUCCUUUGGGGACCACCAGUGGCGAAGGCGUCUGACUAGAACGGAUCCGACGGUAAGGGACGAAACCCUGGGGCGCGAACCGGAUUAGAUACCCGAGUAGUCC